Molecule: ribosomal RNA, 3010 nt
Filed under: Salmonella enterica subsp. enterica serovar 43:a:1,7
Lineage: Bacteria; Pseudomonadati; Pseudomonadota; Gammaproteobacteria; Enterobacterales; Enterobacteriaceae
Description: 23S ribosomal RNA
Rfam family: Bacterial large subunit ribosomal RNA
Source: RNAcentral
GGGUUGUGAGGUUAAGCGACUAAGCGUACACGGUGGAUGCCCUGGCAGUCAGAGGCGAUGAAGGGCGUGCUAAUCUGCGAUAAGCGCCGGUAAGGUGAUAUGAACCGUUAUAACCGGCGAUACCCGAAUGGGGAAACCCAGUGUGAUUCGUCACACUAUCAUUAACUGAAUCCAUAGGUUAAUGAGGCGAACCGGGGGAACUGAAACAUCUAAGUACCCCGAGGAAAAGAAAUCAACCGAGAUUCCCCCAGUAGCGGCGAGCGAACGGGGAGGAGCCCAGAGCCUGAAUCAGCAUGUGUGUUAGUGGAAGCGUCUGGAAAGGCGCGCGAUACAGGGUGACAGCCCCGUACACAAAAGCGCAUGUGCUGUGAGCUCGAUGAGUAGGGCGGGACACGUGGUAUCCUGUCUGAAUAUGGGGGGACCAUCCUCCAAGGCUAAAUACUCCUGACUGACCGAUAGUGAACCAGUACCGUGAGGGAAAGGCGAAAAGAACCCCGGCGAGGGGAGUGAAAAAGAACCUGAAACCGUGUACGUACAAGCAGUGGGAGCACAGGUUUACCUGUGUGACUGCGUACCUUUUGUAUAAUGGGUCAGCGACUUAUAUUCUGUAGCAAGGUUAACCGAAUAGGGGAGCCGGAGGGAAACCGAGUCUUAACCGGGCGUUAAGUUGCAGGGUAUAGACCCGAAACCCGGUGAUCUAGCCAUGGGCAGGUUGAAGGUUGGGUAACACUAACUGGAGGACCGAACCGACUAAUGUUGAAAAAUUAGCGGAUGACCUGUGGCUGGGGGUGAAAGGCCAAUCAAACCGGGAGAUAGCUGGUUCUCCCCGAAAGCUAUUUAGGUAGCGCCUCGUGAAUUCAUCUCCGGGGGUAGAGCACUGUUUCGGCUAGGGGGCCAUCCCGGCUUACCAACCCGAUGCAAACUGCGAAUACCGGAGAAUGUUAUCACGGGAGACACACGGCGGGUGCUAACGUCCGUCGUGAAGAGGGAAACAACCCAGACCGCCAGCUAAGGUCCCAAAGUCAUGGUUAAGUGGGAAACGAUGUGGGAAGGCCCAGACAGCCAGGAUGUUGGCUUAGAAGCAGCCAUCAUUUAAAGAAAGCGUAAUAGCUCACUGGUCGAGUCGGCCUGCGCGGAAGAUGUAACGGGGCUAAACCAUGCACCGAAGCUGCGGCAGCGAACGUAUCACUUAAAGCGAUUCAGCGGGUUACGAUUGACGGAGCGAAGCGACGUCAAAGCGUAUACAAAGUCGAGUCGGUUUAAGGAUACGUUCGUUGGGUAGGGGAGCGUUCUGUAAGCCUGUGAAGGUGGCCUGUGAGGGUUGCUGGAGGUAUCAGAAGUGCGAAUGCUGACAUAAGUAACGAUAAAGCGGGUGAAAAGCCCGCUCGCCGGAAGACCAAGGGUUCCUGUCCAACGUUAAUCGGGGCAGGGUGAGUCGACCCCUAAGGCGAGGCCGAAAGGCGUAGUCGAUGGGAAACGGGUUAAUAUUCCCGUACUUGGUGUUACUGCGAAGGGGGGACGGAGAAGGCUAUGUUGGCCGGGCGACGGUUGUCCCGGUUUAAGCGUGUAGGUGUGUGUUCCAGGUAAAUCCGGUUCACUUUAACACUGAGGCGUGAUGACGAGGCACUACGGUGCUGAAGCAACAAAUGCCCUGCUUCCAGGAAAAGCCUCUAAGCAUCAGGUAACAUCAAAUCGUACCCCAAACCGACACAGGUGGUCAGGUAGAGAAUACCAAGGCGCUUGAGAGAACUCGGGUGAAGGAACUAGGCAAAAUGGUGCCGUAACUUCGGGAGAAGGCACGCUGACACGUAGGUGAAGUGAUUUACUCAUGGAGCUGAAGUCAGUCGAAGAUACCAGCUGGCUGCAACUGUUUAUUAAAAACACAGCACUGUGCAAACACGAAAGUGGACGUAUACGGUGUGACGCCUGCCCGGUGCCGGAAGGUUAAUUGAUGGGGUCAGCGCAAGCGAAGCUCCUGAUCGAAGCCCCGGUAAACGGCGGCCGUAACUAUAACGGUCCUAAGGUAGCGAAAUUCCUUGUCGGGUAAGUUCCGACCUGCACGAAUGGCGUAAUGAUGGCCAGGCUGUCUCCACCCGAGACUCAGUGAAAUUGAACUCGCUGUGAAGAUGCAGUGUACCCGCGGCAAGACGGAAAGACCCCGUGAACCUUUACUAUAGCUUGACACUGAACAUUGAGCCUUGAUGUGUAGGAUAGGUGGGAGGCUUUGAAGCGUGGACGCCAGUCUGCGUGGAGCCGACCUUGAAAUACCACCCUUUAAUGUUUGAUGUUCUAACGUGGACCCGUGAUCCGGGUUGCGGACAGUGUCUGGUGGGUAGUUUGACUGGGGCGGUCUCCUCCUAAAGAGUAACGGAGGAGCACGAAGGUUGGCUAAUCCUGGUCGGACAUCAGGAGGUUAGUGCAAUGGCAUAAGCCAGCUUGACUGCGAGCGUGACGGCGCGAGCAGGUGCGAAAGCAGGUCAUAGUGAUCCGGUGGUUCUGAAUGGAAGGGCCAUCGCUCAACGGAUAAAAGGUACUCCGGGGAUAACAGGCUGAUACCGCCCAAGAGUUCAUAUCGACGGCGGUGUUUGGCACCUCGAUGUCGGCUCAUCACAUCCUGGGGCUGAAGUAGGUCCCAAGGGUAUGGCUGUUCGCCAUUUAAAGUGGUACGCGAGCUGGGUUUAGAACGUCGUGAGACAGUUCGGUCCCUAUCUGCCGUGGGCGCUGGAGAACUGAGGGGGGCUGCUCCUAGUACGAGAGGACCGGAGUGGACGCAUCACUGGUGUUCGGGUUGUCAUGCCAAUGGCACUGCCCGGUAGCUAAAUGCGGAAGAGAUAAGUGCUGAAAGCAUCUAAGCACGAAACUUGCCCCGAGAUGAGUUCUCCCUGAGACUUAGAGUCUCCUGAAGGAACGUUGAAGACGACGACGUUGAUAGGCCGGGUGUGUAAGCGCAGCGAUGCGUUGAGCUAACCGGUACUAAUGAACCGUGAGGCUUAACCUUACAACGCCGAAG